UAGGGAAUCUUCCACAAUGGACGCAAGUCUGAUGGAGCAACGCCGCGUGAGUGAAGAAGGCUUUCGGGUCGUAAAACUCUGUUAUUGAAGAAGAACGCGUGUGACAGUAACUGGUCAUGCAGUGACGGUAUUCAAUCAGAAAGUCACGGCUAACUACGUGCCAGCAGCCGCGGUAAUACGUAGGUGGCAAGCGUUGUCCGGAUUUAUUGGGCGUAAAGCGAGUGCAGGCGGUCUUUUAAGUCUGAUGUGAAAGCCUUCGGCUUAACCGAAGAAGGGCAUCGGAAACUGGGAGACUUGAGUGCAGAAGAGGAGAGUGGAACUCCAUGUGUAGCGGUGAAAUGCGUAGAUAUAUGGAAGAAACACCAGUGGCGAAGGCGGCUCUCUGGUCUGUAACUGACGCUGAGGCUCGAAAAGCGUGGGUAGCAAAACAGGAUUAGA
This 438-nucleotide ribosomal RNA is filed under the name uncultured bacterium. RNAcentral describes it as "partial 16S ribosomal RNA". It matches the Rfam family "Bacterial small subunit ribosomal RNA", at positions 355 to 782 of the family's 1533-position model. The record is from RNAcentral.